Molecule: ribosomal RNA, 399 nt
Filed under: Platyhelminthes sp. MM00464
Lineage: Eukaryota; Metazoa; Platyhelminthes
Description: SSU rRNA
Rfam family: Eukaryotic small subunit ribosomal RNA
Source: RNAcentral
CAAUAGCGUAUAUUAACGUUGUUGCGGUUAAAAAGCUCGUAGUUGAAUUCAAAACAAGGAUGGACUGGUUCACCUUUUGGUGUAACUGGUUGUCCUGUUUAAAACGUCGUGAACGCUGGGUGAUCUUAAUCGAUUGUCUAGUGUGAUCGGCAGUUUUACUUUGAAAAAAUUGGGGUGCUUAAAGCAGGCUAAUGCCUGGACAGUGGUGCAUGGAAUAAUAGAAUAUGACUACGGUCUUAUUUUGUUGGUUUUAGAGAUUGUAGUAAUGAUUAAAAGGGACUGACGGGGUCAUUUGUAUACCGGGGGGAGAGGUGAAAUUCGUAGAUCCUCGGUAGACAAUCUACUGCGAAAGCAUUUGACAAGAAUGUUUUCAUUAAUCAAGAACGAAAGUCAGAGGUU